UUAUCUGGGUUGAGGACAGUGCCUGGUGGGUAGUUUGACUGGGGCGGUCUCCUCCCAAAGAGUAACGGAGGAGCACGAAGGUGGGCUAAUCACGGUUGGACAUCGUGAGGUUAGUGCAAUGGCAUAAGCCCGCUUAACUGCGAGAAUGACGGUUCGAGCAGGUGCGAAAGCAGGUCAUAGUGAUCCGGUGGUUCUGUAUGGAAGGGCCAUCGCUCAACGGAUAAAAGGUACUCCGGGGAUAACAGGCUGAUACCGCCCAAGAGUUCAUAUCGACGGCGGUGUUUGGCACCUCGAUGUCGGCUCAUCACAUCCUGGGGCUGAAGUCGGUCCCAAGGGUAUGGCUGUUCGCCAUUUAAAGUGGUACGCGAGCUGGGUUUAGAACGUCGUGAGACAGUUCGGUCCCUAUCUGCCGUGGGCGUUGGAAGAUUGAAGGGGGCUGCUCCUAGUACGAGAGGACCGGAGUGGACGAACCUCUGGUGUUCGGGUUGUGUCGCCAGACGCAUUGCCCGGUAGCUAAGUUCGGAAUUGAUAAGCGCUGAA
RNAcentral lists this ribosomal RNA (540 nucleotides) under Vibrio cholerae. RNAcentral describes it as "partial 23S ribosomal RNA". It matches the Rfam family "Bacterial large subunit ribosomal RNA", at positions 2236 to 2775 of the family's 2925-position model. The record is from RNAcentral. Lineage: Bacteria; Pseudomonadati; Pseudomonadota; Gammaproteobacteria; Vibrionales; Vibrionaceae.